GCCUCGGUGGCUCAGUUGGGUAGAGGUUUGGCUAUGGCCCAGAAGGUCAAGAGUUCGAACCCUGCAGAGGCC
Non-coding RNA from Caenorhabditis elegans, 72 nucleotides. Lineage: Eukaryota; Metazoa; Nematoda; Chromadorea; Rhabditida; Rhabditidae. The record is from the annotation of a RefSeq genome assembly.